This 85-nucleotide transfer RNA is filed under the name Felis catus (domestic cat). It matches the Rfam family "tRNA". Rfam says of the family: Transfer RNA (tRNA) molecules are approximately 80 nucleotides in length. Their secondary structure includes four short double-helical elements and three loops (D, anti-codon, and T loops). The record is from Rfam by way of RNAcentral. Lineage: Eukaryota; Metazoa; Chordata; Mammalia; Carnivora; Felidae.
ACCUGGGUGGCUCAGUCAGUUAAGCAUCUGACUUCAGCUCAGGUCAUGAUCUCACAGUUUGUGGGUUCAAGCCCCACAUCAGGCU